GAUGAACGCUGGCGGCGUGCCUAAUACAUGCAAGUCGAACGCUUCCUACCGGUGCUUGCACCGGGAAAGAAGAGUGGCGGACGGGUGAGUAACACGUGGGUAACCUACCUACAAGCGGGGGAUAACAUUCGGAAACGGAUGCUAAUACCGCAUAGAUCUUUUUGUCUCCUGGCAGAAGGAAGAAAGACGGUUUCGGCUGUCACUUGUAGAUGGACCCGCGGCGCAUUAGUUAGUUGGUGAGGUAAUGGCUCACCAAGACGAUGAUGCGUAGCCGACCUGAGAGGGUGAUCGGCCACACUGGGACUGAGACACGGCCCAGACUCCUACGGGAGGCAGCAGUAGGGAAUCUUCCGCAAUGGACGAAAGUCUGACGGAGCAACGCCGCGUGAGUGAAGAAGGUUUUCGGAUCGUAAAACUCUGUUGUUAGAGAAGAACAAGGAUGAGAGUAACUGCUCGUCCCUUGACGGUAUCUAACCAGAAAGCCAUGGCUAACUACGUGCCAGCCGCCGCAGUAA
This 515-nucleotide ribosomal RNA is filed under the name uncultured bacterium. Its description in RNAcentral is "partial 16S ribosomal RNA". It matches the Rfam family "Bacterial small subunit ribosomal RNA", at positions 28 to 523 of the family's 1533-position model. The record is from RNAcentral.